This 26395-nucleotide long non-coding RNA is filed under the name Eucalyptus grandis. RNAcentral's name for it is "long non-coding RNA (EGRA_LNC004647)". The stretch from base 17189 to 17262 matches the Rfam family "tRNA". The record is from RNAcentral. Lineage: Eukaryota; Viridiplantae; Streptophyta; Magnoliopsida; Myrtales; Myrtaceae.
AACUCAUAUAGAAAGGGGUAGAAAAGGUCUAAUGUUAUUGUCCCCCAGCACCAGAUGAUUUAAGCUAGAUCCAUUGCUUCACUGCUGGUUCCUCAUGGCAAGAACCUUGGCCAAAGCCGGCCAGGCCAUGAUGUCGGCCACCCAAGCGCUCACCUUGGGGCGGGCGUCGAACAGCUUCUUCACAGGUGUCCCCAUCAGGCUGGUCAGGGCCGGGAGGUGGUGGAGGUCGGCCAGGGUGAAGCAGUCGCAGCCUAGGUACUUGGACUGGCUCAGGCGGACCUCGUAGAUGUCGAGGACCUUGGCGAGCUUGGCCUCGUUCUCCUCGACUACUGCAGCAUCCGUGGCCAUGCCAAUUUUCGACUUGUACACGAGCUCCCGAUGCAGCUUCGACGCCGCCGGGUCAAACUGGUGGGCCUCGACUUCCAUCCACACGCUCACGGUUGCCAUGGGUUCGCCCUCGCAAACGAGGGGAGUGCCCUUGUCCUCGUAUACGUGAGCAAUGUAUUGAGUAAUUGCCCUCGAUUCUGCCACCACAAAGAGCAUAAUCAAGACAAACUAUAUUUCGCCUAGUUGUUUAUUGUUCUGUUGACUGAGUGAACAGUCAAAGAUUGACUAAACACUUGAUCUUUCAUCAUGAUUGCACGAUCUAUCGGCAAUCGAAUCAGCGCCCUUUGACUAAAUACUUUAAUCUUUAAUGAUGGUCACACAAUAUAAUACAUCAGUAAUAGAAAGACUUACCGAAUAGCUUCAAAUCUCCGUCCUCGAAGACCGGGACUUGACCGAAAGGCUGCACAGAGAGAUCGAGAAACGUUAGAUCCAAGAGACGACGGAGGAUUUCUUGAAAGACCACGUCGAGACCCCAGGACCAGAAAAUAGUUAGGAAUACUGUGGCACGGGCGGUGGGCGGGGACGGACACUUACGUUGAGGGCGAGGAAAUGCUCCUUCUUGUGCUCGCCGGCUCGCAAGUUGACGAAGACGAACUCGAACUCGAGGUCCUUCUCGUGGAGGGCAAUGAGGAGCCGCAUCGUCGGGGCGGAGAAGACGCUUCCGUGGACCUUCGUAGCCAUGUUCCUGUCCGUCGGCGAGAUUCUUAUCUCCCAUUCUUGGAAAGGAGAUACUAUUGUUGUAUUAUUCUUAUUUCCUUUUUCUGCUAAAUUCCACUAGAGGUGAGCAUUGGAUCGACCCUGGAUCGGCCCAACCCUAUUGGUCCUAAUCCGGUUCCUAGGGAGACUGGGUUAGUUUUUAGUCCUAGAAUUUCUAGACCAGUACUGUGCGGGUCAGUUCUCGAUCAGUCCAACCCGGAUCAACCCUGACUCUCUAUAUAUAUAUAUAAUAUUAUUUAUAAUUUUUUUAUAUAGAGAAAACCCUAAAAUAAAUAGUGUCAACAGCAUUAAAUGGCUAUUUAGUAAUGAGUUCAAGUAAUUUUACAUUAUUCUUUAAUAACUUGAAAAUCAUAAUUUAUGAAGGAGGAAAAUGUUUUUGUGAGAAGUCCUCACGGUGUCCAAAAAAGUAUAAACAGCUCCUUAUGGCAUCCCCUAUAGUAUUUGUUCUCUUCUGUCUUAUUUGUUAUCUUAAUCUUCAAUUUGUCAAAAUCGAAAUAAACAACUUCUCCACUCGCCACUCGACACUCACCUUGCUCGCUUUAGGUCAUUCGUGCCACUCGCCGCUUGAUUCUCACUUGGCUUGCUACUCCCCGCUCAACAUUCGAUGCUCAUUCUUUCGACGCUCACCCCACUUAACCCUUAAUGCUUGCCUUUCUUAACUGACCUUACUUAUCAUCGAACUCAUUGGGUUAGUACGGUCAUUGGUUGCCAUUUCAAAGAGUACAAAAAAUAAAAUAAAAAUUAUUAGUUGGUUCUAGGUUGACCUGGAAACCGGACUAAACCCAUUGAGUCAAUCCGGUCUUUAAUGGCUUUUUUAAGAAGUACAAAAAAUGAAAUAAAAAAUUAUCGGUUGGUCUCGGGUUGACCCUGGAAUCAGACCAAACCCAUUGGGUCGGUCCGGUCCUCGGUUCCAAGCUCAAUUAGGUCGGUCAUCGGUCCUAAAAAUUGAGGACUAGCACUGUGCAGGUUGGUCCUAGGGUUAGGGGGUGGAUCGGUCCAACCCGAACCAUGCUCACUCCGAAAUUCCACACCAUCUAUCAUGGCACUACUUUUUUCGUGGUCUGAAAGCUUCUCAGAAAAUGAAAUACAUCGGUGGCAGUUGGGAUUGGACCGCCUAAACUUGAAACUGUGUGGAUUCUACCAGCCGAUUUGGUCCAAUACUAAAGCAAUGAGAAAAAAAAAACAAUCAGUUCCAUUAGACCGGAUCAGAAUUGAACCGAAUCGGUGAUGUGGUCCGAUUUCCGAUUCUAAGACCAAUCGAUCCAAUCCUUAGUUCUUAUUUUUGGGAACAUGACUGUCUCUUGGUCCGAUUUCCAAUUUCACCUUGGAACUGGAUCGGAUUGAGAACCGAUCACCCUUACUUGAAAGGAGACAACAAAUCCCUAUGCAACAGGUAGGCAUAGCAAUAAGUUACUCAUGCGAAACGUGCCUCUACUCAGAAGGAUAAUUUUUUGAAAAGCAAAAAGGCAAUUCUCUCUUUAGAAAGACUUUGAGAAAACAUUAAUUAUGUUUCAAAAAUGAGAAAGAAUGGAAAGAUUUUUCGGGUGGGUCGAAAAUAUAGAAAACUUCUAAUUUUACUUAAGGCAUAAAAAGAGUGUAAAAUUUUUUCCCCUUUUUUUGGAAUUUUCUUCUCUCUUCCAUUGACCAUGAUUGCAAACAUAAGGAAAGGGCUAAAAGUUGAAUUUGAUUUCUUUUUUGUCGAAGAAAAUUUUAUUGAAAUUACGAACAUGGUCUAAAGAGCUCGGAGCAAGGCCAAUCUAAACAAAGGAGGGCCCAAAGGCUUUAAGGAGGAAAAGAAAGCCGGUUUUGUGGAAGUGAGCCAAUCCGUCAUGUCUUCGCAGCUCAGUCGGUUACCGCAUUAGAAGCCCGCGAACAAUGGACUAUGCAAAUGGAUGGAUGGGCCUUGAGUAGCUGUAAAAAAUUCACGAUAAGAAGUCGCUCCUCCCGGUUGAAAUUAUCUGUAAACCCGCUUAUCAAAGCUUCCACGAGAUCGGCAUGGUUGAGCUCAAUUGCAUGGUUUGCGGGACCAUCUUCACUCAAAACUACAAGCUGGAUUGCUUCAAGGACGGCUAGGGCUUCCACCUAAGAAGGUGAUGAUAUCUUCACCAAUUUGGGGAAAGCCGUAAUAAUAAUACAAGCACGAUCUCUGUAGAUACCAGCUAUGACGCCAUCCACCAAUCCAUUGACAAGGGAGCCAUCAACAUUGGAUUUUAGGAUUUUCUCCUCCAAUGAGAGCCUAGGUAUACAACUUAUAAAGGUGGGAUCUUUUAUUGUAUUUGAUGUAUGAAAGAUCCAUUUUAAGUAAUUUGGUCGCUAGAAAUAUGUUGAUUGCAUGGCAUGUCGUGCAUUCGGAAAUUUGCCCUGAAAUACAUUAUAAAAAGAAGACAUUAAUGAACUUCUAUGAAAUGGCUUCAUGGGAUUCAGGCAAUUGUCUUGAUCAUGGGAUAUCAUUGAGACAUAGGAAUCCGUAUUAUUAAAAGAUUUCCUACAAUUAUUUCUAGUAUGGAAUGAAUCAAUCAUCCACUUUGGUAUCUUAGGGUCCGUUUGUUUCGCGGAAAACAAUUUCCGGGAAAAUAUUUUCCAAAAUUACCGAUGUACCGAUGGCGGAAAAUAGGUAGUCAAAGAAAAUGUACCGAUGGAGAUCCUAAUAUUGUGAAAAAUGAUUUCUUCUUUUGAAAAGAGGAAAACAUUUUCCAUAACUUCUUCCACCUUGUUUCUUUUCACCAACACAUUUAUGCUUUCUUUUUCUUUCUUGUUUUUUUUAAUCGAGUUUUUAAUUUUUUUUCCUUUUCUUUUUUUCUUUUCUUCCUUGGUGGCCGUUUCAUCUUCUUCCUUGGUGGUCGGUUGCCAGCCACGGCGGCGGCCGGCAAUCGGCUGCAAGCCAGCUUGAGCCUUGCCCCAGGCUAGCAAGGCUUCGCCUAGCCCAAUCUGGCGAAGGGAGCUCGCCCAAUCCUUGCGAGCUUGGGCCUCGCCAAAUCGGGCGAGGCAGAGCCUUGCCGACUUAGGGUAGAGCUCGAACCUCGCCAGAUCCAGCGAGCUAGGUGAGGCUCGGGCCUCGCCCGAGCUCGCCAGAGGUUUGCCAGGCUCUAGUGAGCCGUGAGCUUGCCGAAUCUGGCAACGAAGCUUGGGCUCAUGAUCCAUAGGAACCCGAGCUCCACUGCCAGAUCGACAAGCUCGAGCGAGAUUGGCCGAGCCUCAAGUUCGUCGGAUCUGGCGACUAGGUGUUGGUCGGCCGCCAGGUAGCCGACCAUCAUCAGGCAUGCGGCAGUGGAGGAAGGUGGAGCCGGGAGGAAGAAAGAGGAGGAAGAAGGAAGGAAAAAAGAAAAAGAAAGAAAUAAUAAAAAUUUCGAUUUUUUAAAAAUAGAAAUAAUUAAAAUUUUAUUUUAAAAAAAUAUAAAAAAAUAAAACUAAUUUUUUAGUCAAUUAAAAAUAUUAAAAUUCAAUUUUUGAUAAUCUUUCCCAAACAAUUAAAUUAGCUAACGAAUGGUGGAAAAUAUUUUCCACUUGAAGUUUUGGUUUCGGCCAAACACCGGAAAAUAGUCAUUUUCCUGGAAAAUGACUUUUAGGAAAAUGUUUUCCGGAAACAUAUUUUCCAUGAAACGAACGGACUCUUAUUGAACAAAAAUGGUGAUAUUGUUCCUUGAUUGAUCAAUAAUUACGAUUUUUGGGAAGUAUCAUGAUCAUAAAAAAAUAAUGGCUUCCAUUUUUACAAAUGAACAAUUUGAAGACCUAUUGAUUCUAACAACUAAUUGCAGAGUUGAUCAUUCGGAUCUUUCAAUUCAUAGACAUGGAUCUCGAACCUAUGAAUGGGGGUAUUCACGAAACUCACAAAGAAAAAAAGGAAGUGAGUUAGACAAAAAAAAAAGAAGAGGAAACUUGGACAAAAUGAAACGAAGUGACUUAGACAAAUCUUUUUUGUUGAGAACCUUAGACCAAUCAAUCAAAUAUUGAUUAAUACUUAAUUGAUCAAAGACUACUUGAAAACGGCUCUUUAGCUUAGAAACAAAAUGUUCCAAAUGUUCUUGGAAAUUCUUGCUCCCAUUGGACCAUUUGUAUUUAUAUGUAUUAGGAUAUCGAUUCACAGAUCUCUCAGUUCAAGAAAUAAAAAUAAGAGGAUUGAACAAUUUCUUCUAACUAUUUUUCAAAUUCGAUAAAUGUAGGUUGAUCUUAUAUUUCAUUAUCGUUUUAUGAUUCAAAGUAUCAUUUCAUAUUUGAUCCCUUUGAAUUCCAUAUCCAAAAUUGCAAUCGGAUUCAUUCAUUAAAAAGAAUCAGUUCCAUACAUUUCUUAUGUACCCAUAGGUGCUAUAUUGGAUUUGAAUUAGAUUUCGGAUCCAUCUAUAUUGAUUAACUGUCUCAUUAUGUUGUUACUAGUAAAUACCAUUAUUUUUUGUUUUGGAUCUUUCAAAUCAUUUUCGCAUGAGAUCCGAACCCAUUUUUUCUAAUCUUUCAAUAAAAAGAUUCAUUUUCUUCAAAAAAGAGAGGAGGUAGAACCAAUAAAGAUUUCUUUUUCAAUUCAUCCCUGGAUUUGAAUACCUCAUUAAAGAAUUAUUUUUGAUCUAAUACGUAAGAAUCCAUAGAUAAGGCAAAUCCUUUAAGAUACAUCAAAUCUAGCUCACUUAUUGAUAGAGUAAAUAGAUCUGCCAUUAUUUGAAAUCUCUCUUCUGAUUCAAAAUCGUGGUGUAAUGUGUAUCAACCUUGUUUCGGUCAUGAAAUAGACGAAAUAAAUCAAAAAAAUGUAUUUUUGUUUAAGAAUGAAAUCUUAUGGAAACUGUGCAUAUCCAGUUCAUCCUUUAGAAUCAUAUCACAUCCCGGAUCUGAUGAAAUAUGAUGAAUUGAGACAAUACUUUGUAAAUACAUAAUUAUCUUAUAUAUAUUAACUAUAUCUUUAUUUUAUGAUCGUUUGGAAAGGACAAAAGAAACAUCUUGUUCUUUCUUCAACAAUUUUUUAUCUCUAGUGGGCCUCUUAGUAGGAUUCCAACCUAGAUGAAGUUUUGACCAUCUGUCAAAGAAAAAAGAAAGAAUGGAUCUUGUAGAAUUCCCAAGAAAUUCUUCGAUUUUUUUCGGAAGCAAAUGAUUCUUCAUCUCUUUCUCACAUUUCGUGAAUAGUUGGGAAUAUCUAGAAAGGCAUUUAGAGAAUCGGUCUGAUUCUAACUCUGUUCGUUUCGUUUGAAGAAAUGAAGGAUCCCAAAGAAUCAAUCUUUCUUUUAGUUGUUGAAUCUCUCUUUGAUUGAUCAAUGUAUGAUAUUCUGAAUCCUUAUUACUAAUGGAAUCGAAAUGAUCUCUGGAUUGAUCAAAAGAUCCUUUUAAUUGGCUAGAAUCCGUUAUUUGAACAAAACUAGAUCUUGUACAAUCAUAUUGAAUAUUUGACGAUACAUUUUGUAACUUGUUAAAAAAUCGGUCCUUGUUUACCAACCACACAUUGUCUAACCAAAUUCAAUUCUCUCUCAAUAUGUUCCUCAAAAAAUCUGAUUCGAGUAUUCUUCCCCUAGCUGACAAAGAGAUCUUGGCGGAAUUGCUACAUAUGAAAUUGAGCACAAUUUUCCAAAAAAAUAGCCCACUUCUUUCUCGAGAAGAGAUGGGAAAUAGGCUUAAUAUCAUUUGAUUGAAUAGUUGACCCAGCUCCUUGUUGUUUGAGGAAACCCUCCACUUCAAUUGGUAUUUUUUUCACGAAAAGCAAACAUGAGAAAACAAAUCUAGUCUUUAACUAAGAUUUCGAAUAGCUAUCACGAAUUCAAAUUAAUUAUGUUUCGUCUCUUACUUGGAGAAAGAUGAUCCAAAAUUCCCAAUCACAGUACUUGCAGAUCGGAUCAUCCAUAUAAUAUACAAAAAGAAACUCCAAAUAUUUAAUAUCUUUUCCUUUGAAUGAUAUCUCAAUUCCAACAAUGGUUUCAUUAGAUAUCUUACAACUAGAAUCAUCUUUUUUCCGCUCCAAUUCCUCCAACACUGCAAACCCAAGUUAAAUCCAGGCAUGAUACAUUUUUUUGUGAUUGGGAGAACUCAAUUACUCUCUUUCGGAUCUAGGAAAAAGCUCUCAGAGAUCUUUUUUUCCUUUUGGAAGAUAAAGGAGCCAAACGAUCAACCUAUUGAUAUUGGAAGAUCCAAAAGAUUCUUCCAAUGUAUCAUUUCUAGGUCUAAUGGAAUUCAUAGGUAUAGGAAAAAGCCCUAUUAAAUAGAGAUUUUUUCUUUCGGCCAUAUUUCAAUUAUUAAUACAGUAUAUAAGGACUACUACUACAAAUAGUACUACACCAUUGAUCGUGAAAUAUCAAGUGCUUGUUGAAUCCUGUGAAUUGCGUGAAAGUAGGAUACUCCAAAUUCGGGGGUCUAGGAGUUUUAUAAAAUGUUCUUGGUGAAAAAAAAUGUGGAUGAAAGAUCCUACGAAAUUGAAUUGGGUGCAUGAAUCUAAGAAAUAGUGAGAAUUAUGGAUCUCUCUCAAUUCGAAAAUCCAGGAUUUGAAUUGACAUCCUUUCAUUGAUUUCUCCUAAAUUGAAUUAAUUUCUCCUAAAGAUUUCAUUUCAAUUGGAAUUUGGUUACUCACCAUGUACGAGGAUCCCUGCUAAGCAUCCAUGGUUGAAUGGUUAAAGCACUCAACUCAUAAUUGGCGAAUUCGUAGGUUAAAUUCCUACUGGAUGCACGCCAAUGGGACACUACAAUAAAUCUAUUGGAAUUGACUCUAUGUCAAUGGAAUCUAAUCAUCCAUACAUAACGAAUUGAUGUGGUAUGUUAAUAUACCUUUAAUGUCAACUUUAAUGAAGAAUCAAGAUCAAGUAGGACAGAAAUAAAGCAUUGGGUCGAACUCUUCUGAAAUGGUAGAAGAAUAGGACCUAUUCUCAGUAGAAGAAUGGGACCUAUACAGGGACAUAUAAAGCAUUACAGACGUAUGAUCAUUACACUUCAACUGGGUUAUUCUAUUCCACCUCUUAAAAAGAAAAGAACUUAAAUCAAAAUGGUUAAUAUUAAUAGCAUAGCAAUAUAUUUAUACAAAACUUCUACCCCCAAGCACCCCAAGCACACGCAAUGGAGCCGUAAACAAUCAAGUGAAAUUCAAUACACAAAAUAAUUUGAUCUAUGGACAGCAUCAUUGUAAUAAAGGUCGUAAUGCCAGAGGAAUCAUUACCACAUGGCAUAGAGCGGGAUUUUCAGAUAGUCUAAUGAGUUGUAGUCGCCGUGGGUAAUUUUACAUUUGAUUUACAAUGCACUACUUAUAAGUAAAAUGAGAAAAAUGGUGCAUUGAAAACUGCAUAAUUUUCUUUAUAUUUUUUUAACAAGUUUUUUUUUUGUAUAUUUUUUUAACAAGUUCAUAAAAGCACUUUUAAACAAAGUCCAAUUUGGAUAGGAGAAUUUUCAUUUGGCCCCACCAUUUUGAUCAUUUGCUUGCAGCCAUGCAAAGAAAGUGACCAGAUUUGGCCCAUAAAUUAUAAACAAGUUGAUAAAGACUUAAGUGGAAAGGACAAAUAGUAACUUCAACUCAAAUAUUUCCCAGCCUGAGAGUUUCUUAGUAGAUCCACUGUUCCAUGUCGUGAGAUCAGCCUUUUGGAUGAGGAAUGAGUAGUGUGCAAAAAUCAAGAAUUCAUUGUGCAAUUGGCACGCGCCUACCCUACCAGAGCAGCCAUGGCCUGGAUCCGGAAGAAACUUGUGGUGGCCAUGAUGGUGAGCUCGACGGAGCUCAAGUGGCCAGCUCAAAGCAGGGACAGUGGGAGGGUGUCUUCUGGUUUCUUAUCAUUUUUAUCGUAUCCUUUUUUUCUUUCUCUAAACUUUUUAUUUUUUUCUUUCUCUAAACUUUUUAUUAUAAAAUCUUUUAAUUCUUUUCCAGACGGGGCGUUAGGUAGAGUCAGCUUUUUUUUUUUUUUUUAGGUAGAGUCAGCUUUUAGUCGGUCAAAUCAUUGAAUUAAUAAAAAUGUUCAUUAUACAAAUUUGAAUAGGAUUCAGUCGUACUAUUCAAAAGUUUUAGGUCAAUUACAUUUGCUUGAUGAAUUUUAGAAUUACUGAUGUAGGUAUCCAUGUGUAAAGGUAAUACUCAUCCAUGGAUAUAGUCCAGUGAACUUCUAUGGUACUUUAACAGAUGAAAGCGGGUGAAGCUUUCGUGACUAGUAGGGAAACUGUAGGCCAUCCUAUGGAGAUGAUGAGAGGAGAGCUUUGUAAUCAGUAAAGAUAAUACCAGCACUUGCAGCAAUCAUUACACUCUAAUGAAACUAGAAAGAUGAGACAUACAAGCCAAUGACUCAUGAAACAUAACUCUGCAUCUGUCCAAUCUUUUUAUUGCUCAUAAUAGAAAAUCACAGAACCGGAAGUUCAGUUCUGUGAAACACCAGCCUGGUCAUCAUCUCCAACUUUGAUGAUUGAAGACAACCCAUAAGAGAAAAUCCCACAUAAAACAUUGACCCAACAAGGACAGAAUCAACAACGAAAUACAGCUAACAACUCAUAUAAAAAGGGGUAGGAAAGGUCUAAUGUUACGGUCCCCCAGCACCAGAUAAUUUAAACUAGACCCCUUUGCAUCACUGCUGGUUCCUCAUGGCAAGAACCUUGGCCAAAGCCGGCCGGGCCAUGAUGUCGGCCACCCAAGCGCUCACCUUGGGGCGGGCGUCGAACAGCUUCUUCACAGGUGAAGCCAUCAGGUUGGUCAGGGCCGGGAGGUGGUGGAGGUCGGCCAGGGUGAAGCAGUCGCAGCCCAAGUACUUGGACUGGCUCAACCGGGCCUCGUAGAUGUCGAGGACCUUGGCGAGCUUGGCCUCGUUCUCCUCGACUACUGCGGCGUCCGUGGCCAUGCCGAACAUCGGCUUAAACAGGAGCUCCCACUGCAGCUUCGACCCCACCGGGUCAAACUGGUGGGCCUCGACCUCCAUCCACACGCCCAAGGUCGCCAUGGGUUUGCCCUCGCACACGAGGGGAGUGCCCUUGUCCUUGUAUACAUUAGCUAUGUAUUGAGUAAUUGCCCUUGAUUCUGCCACCACAAAGAACAAAAUCAAGAUGUAAACCAUGCUUCGCGUAGUUGUUUCUUGUUCAGUUGACGAAUUGAACAGUCAAAGAUUGACUAAACACUUGAUCCUUCAUCAUGGUCGCAUGAUCUAUCAGCAAUCGAAUCAGCACCCUUUGACUAAAUACUUUCAUCUUUCAUGAUGGUCACACAGUAUAAUACACCACGAACAGAAAGACUUACCGAAUAGCUUCAAAUCUCCGUCCUCAAAGGCCGGGACUUGACCGAAAGGCUGCACAGAGAGAUCCAGAAACGUUAGAUCUGAGCGAGACGAAAGAGGGUUUCUUGAAAGAGCACAUUCAGACCCCCCAAGACCGAAAAUCUGCGAGUAUAAAGGUCGAACUGGUGGUGGGCAGGUAAGGAGACUUACGUUGAGGGCGAGGAAGUGCUCCUUCUUGUGCUCGCCGGCCCGCAUGUCGACGGGGACGAACUCGAACUCGAGGCCCUUCUCGUUGAGGGCAAUGAGUACCCGCAUAGCCGCGGUGGAUAAGACGCUUCCGUGGACCUUCAUCACCAUGGUGGCUGGCUCUGCUUUCUUUUCUUUAUCUCUCUCUCUCGAAGGCUAAAUGCAGAACAGAUGUGGCGAAAGAGGGUGGGUUUUGGGCUCUUUUUAUAAGGGUUUCAGGAUCUCGUUCUGGAAUGAUCCAAUUGACUUUUAAAAUUCGAUUUUUCUUUCCCAUUCAACGAGAUAAUUUUGCUUUUUUUAUCUUUGUUGUUUAUACUUAGGAGAUGGAGAUGCAAAAAUGGCUCCUUGUCGGAUGAAGAGAGAGAGAGAGAGAGAGACGGACGCGACGAUUCCUGAGAAGCCAUUUUGAUAUUCAUCUCGCACUUUCUUCUCUUCAUUCGAUGUCUGAACAGAUCAAAAGAAAGGCGCAGACACCUACGUGCGCACGUCAUGCGGCGAGUAGCUCGUGCCAAAAGCGCCUAUCUACCGACCCAAAAAAAAGAAGCGCCUAUCUACCGACAAAAAAGAAAAAAAAAGCGCCUAUCUUGGGAAGGAAGAUACAUUUAGGGGAUAUUUGGUAGCUAUCUAAAUAGUAUCUGAUUCUGAUUUUUUCUUUCUGAAAGUAAUUUUGAAAUGGAAUCUCGUUUGGUAAAAUUUUUGUUCCAGAAAUAAAUUUAUAUUUUUCUUGUUCUCGAAAAUAGAUUUGAAAUAGAAUCAAGAAUAAAAAAAAAAAUUGACUCUUAUUCUAUAAACAAAUCUAAAAAUCAAAAUCAACUUUUCUUCUUCUUCUUUUUUCUUCUUCUUCAUCAACCGACAUCCCGCAAAUACUAUCCGCCGCCGUCCACCAUCGUUCGCUACCGGUCGCCGACAACCGGUCCGGCGAGCACCGAAGGCUCGCCAGGCCAAGACGAGGUCCAGCGAGCUCGCUGAGGCUUAGGCUUGGCCUUACCAGAUUUAGCGAGGUCGAGCCUUGCCCAACUACCGGCGAUGCUCGGCCAACGAGGGCCAACAAAACUUCAAUGAGGUCGCCAGCCACAAGAAGAAGAAGAAGAAGAAGAAGAAGAAGAGAAAAAAUGGGAAAAAAAGUAAAAAUGAAAAAAAAUAAUUGAUUUGGAACAGAAUCAAUAAGCAUGAUACCAAACGCAAUUCUAUUCCAAAAUCAGAAAUUUUAAAUAAUUAUUAAAUGGCUUAAAAUGUUUAGAAAUUGUUCCUAAGAAUAGAAUAAAAAAUAAUCAUUUCUGAUUAGAAUUUGUUCUCGAGAAUAAAAUCAUUACCAAACACACUCCUAAAGGGCGAGGAUGUAACUCCACUCUUCAGAAAAGACUUUGAGAAAACGUGAAUCAUGUUUCAAAAAAUGGAUUACUACAAAUGUAUCAUGCAGUCCCUAAAAUUUAAUUUUGUACAACGUGAUCCGUGAGUUUUUAUUAUAUAAUAUCAUUUCUAAAUUUUUAAUUUAUUUUAUAUAAUCUUUACAUUAUUGAUAAAUAUUUAGUAUAAUCUUUAAAUUAUAUGAAUUUGUUUAAAAAUUUAUUAUCUAAAUUCUAGAUUCGAACAUAUUGAGAAAGUUUGACCAUACGUUGGAUUUUUUAAUAGAAUAUUAGACACGUGUUGGAGUAUCUAAUAUGACUCAAAAACUCUGGAGAAUGUCGACGUUUCCCAUAGCAGAGUUAGCUUUUUUGAUUGGUCAAAUCAAACAAAUUAAUAAAAAAUUUUAUUAUACAUUUUAAAAUAUUAGGGGUCAAUUACACGACAAAAUUUAAAAUUUCCGAUGCAUAUAUCCCUUAGUGUAAAGGCAGUACUCAUCCAUGAAUAAAGUGCAGUGAACUAGGCGAAGCUUUAGGGAAGCCUUAGGCCAUCCCAUGGAGAUGAUGAGAGGAGGGGUUUUCAUCAGUAGAGAUAAUACCAGCACUUGCAGAAAUCAUUACAUUCUAAUGAAACUACAAAGAUGAGGCAUAUAAAACAAUGACCCAUGAAACAUAAUUUUGCAUCUGUCCAAUCUUUUUAUUGCUCAUAAUAGAAAAUCACAGAACUUGCAGUUCGGCGAAACGCCAGCCUGGUCAUCAUCUCCGACUUUGAUGAUUGAAGACGACCCUUCAGAGAAAAUCCCACAUAAAACAUUGACCAAAGGAGGAUAGAAUCGACAGCAAAAUACGAUUACCAACUCAUAUAGAAAGGGGUAGAAAAGGUCUAAUGUUAUCGUCCCCUAGCACCAGAUGAUUUAAGCUAGACCCAUUGCUUCACUGCUGGUUUCUCAUGGUAAGAACCUUGGCCAAAGCCGGCGGGGUCACGAUGUCAGCCACCCAAGCACUCACCUUCGGGCGGGCGUCCAAUAGCUUCUUCACAAGUGUCCCCAUCAGGCUGGUCAAGGCCGAGAGGUGGUGGAGGUCAGCCAGGGUGAAGCAGUCGCAGCUUAAAUACUUGGACUGGCUCAGCCGAGCCUCGUAGAUGUCGAGGACCUUGGCAAGGUUGGCCUCCUUAUCCUAGAUGGGCUAAGUCAAACGGGUUUUUCAUUUGAUGGGUCAAGUUAAGUCUGUUCGCCCACUCAGCCCAUAAAAGGAAAAUACAGUUAUUUUCUAAGUGAAAAUAACUGUAAUAUAUAAAAUAAAAAUUAAAUGUUCAGAGAGAAAACACGUUUCUCCAUUUUCUUCUCUUUGAAACAGUUCACUCUCUCUUGAAGAAGGAGAAUUCUGAGAUUGCAACAAUGUUUUUUUGAACAUGUUUCUGCGUUCGUUUUUUAUAUUCGAUCGUUUGAGUAUCAGUUCGAUUUUCAGAAAUCUAUUUGCCGCAUCCUUGACUACUGCAGCAUCCGUGGCCAUACCAAUUUUCGACUUGUACACGAGCUCCCAAUGCAGCUUCGACGCUGCCGGGUCAAACUGGUGGGCCUCGACUUCCAUCCACGAGAAAAUAUUGGCUUUGCCCUCGCAAACGAGGGAGCGCCCUUGUCCUCGUAUACGUGAGCAAUGUAUUGAGUAAUUGCCCUCGAUUCUGCCACCACGAAGAGCAUAAUCAAGACAUAAACUAUAUUUCGCGUAGUUGUUUCUUGUUCUGUUGACUGAGUGAACAGUCAAAGAUUGACUAAACACUUGAUCUUUCAUCAUGAUUGCACGAUCUAUCGGCAAUCGAAUCAGCGCCCUUUGACUAAAUACUUUCAUCUUUCAUGAUGGUCACACAAUAUAACACAUCAGUAAUAGAAAGACUUACCCAAUAGCUUCAAAUCUCCGUCCUCAAAGGCCGGGACUUGACCGAAAGGCUGCACAGAGAGAUCGAGAAACGUUAGAUCCAAGAGACGAAGGAGGUUUUCUUGAAAGACCACGUCGAGACCCCACGACCAGAAAAUAGUUAGGAAUACUGUGGCACGGGCGGUGGGCGGUGAUGGAGACUUAAGUUGAGGGCGAGGAAAUGCUCCUUCUUGUGCUCGCCGGCUCGCAAGUCGACGAAGACGAACUCGAACUCGAGGUCCUUCUCGUGGAGGGCAAUGAGGACCCGCAUCGUCGGGGCGGAGAAGACGCUUCCGUGGACCUUCAUCACCAUGAUUGCUCGCUCUGCUUUCUUUUCUUUAUCUCUCUCUCAGAACCUGAACGCAGAACAGCUGUGGCGAUCAAUGGUGGGUCUCGGGCUCUUUUUAUAAGGGCUUCAGGAUCUUGUUCUGGAAUGAUGUAAUUGACUUGAACAUUUCGAUUCUGGUAUGCCCUUCAACGAGAUAAUCUUGCCUUGUAUCUUUUAUUGUUUACAGUUAGCAGGUGGAGAUGACAGUAAUGGCUCCUUGUCGGGAUGUGGGGAGAGGGAGAGAGAGACGCAGGCGAUAAGUCCUCCGUAGCCAUGUUCCUGUCCGUCGGCGAGGUUCUUAUCUCCCAUUCUUGGAAAGGAGAUACUAUUGCUGUACCAUUAUUAUUUCCUAUUUCUGCUAAAUUCAACACCAUCUAUCACGGCCCUACUUUUUUCGUCGUCUGAAAGUUUCUCAGAAAAUGAAAUCCAUCGGUGGCAGUUGGGAUUGGACAGCCUGAACCUGAAACUGCGUGGACUCUACCGGCGGAUUUGGUCCAAUUUAUGAGAAUAUCAAUGUGGUUCCGAUUUUGAGGCAGAAUUGAAUUAGACCGACUAAUUAUUUUUUUAUUUAUUCAAAAAAUUAGUGAAAUAUGAACUAAAUACUAAAGCAAUGAGAAAAAAAAAAAACUAUCGAUUCCAUUAGAUCAUACCAGAAUUGGAUCGAAUCGAUGAUGUGGUCCGAUUUCCAAUUGUAGGACUAAUCGAUCCAAUCCUCAGUUCUAAUUUUUGGGAACAUGACCAUCUCCUAGUCAGAUUUCCGAUUUCACCUUGGAAUUGAAUCGGAUCAGAAACUAAUCACCCUUACUCAAAAGGAGACAACAAAUCUCUGUGUAGUAGGUAGCACAUCAAUAAGUCACUUGUGUGAAACGUGCCUCUACUCAGAAGGAGAAUUUUUUGAAAAUCAAAAAGGCAAUCCUCUCUUUAGAAAGACUUUGAGAAAACAUUAAUUAUGUUUAAGAAAUGAGAGAAAAUGGAAUGAAUUUUCAGGUGGGUUGAAAAUAAAGAAAACUUCUAAUUUUACUUAAGGCAUAAAAAGAGUGGAAAGUGUUUCUUGUUUUCCUUUUCUUUUUCUUUUUUUUGUAAUUUUCUUCUCUCUUCCAUUGACCAUGAUUGCAAACAUAAGGAAAGGACUAAAAGUUGAAUUUGUUCUUCUUUUUUUUAUCGAAGAAAAUUUUAUUGAAAUUACGAACAUGGUGUAAAGAGCUCCGAGCAAGGCGAAUCUGAACAAAGGAGGGCCCAAAGGGUUUGAGGAGGAAAAGAAAGCCGGUUUUGUGGAAGUGAGCCAAUCCAUCAUGUCGGUUACUGCAUUAGAAGCCCGCGAAAAAUGGGCUAUGCGAAUGGAUGGAUGGGCCUUGAGUAGCUUUAUAAAAUUCAUGAUAAGAAGUCACUCCUCCCGGUUGAAAUUAUUCGUAAACCCGCUUACCAAAGCUUCCACGAGAUCGGCAUGGUUGAGCUCAACUGCAUAGUUUGCGGAACUAUCUUCACUCAAAACUACAAGCUGGAUUGCUUCAAGGACGGCUAGGGCUUCCGCCUAAGAAGGUGAUGAGAUCUUCACCAAUUUGGGGAAACCCGUAAUAAUAAUACGAGCACGAUCUCUGUAGAUACCAGCUACGGUGCCAUCCACCAAUUCAUCGACAAAGGAGCCAUCAACAUUGGAUUUUAGGAUUUUCUACUCCAAUGGAACCCAAGUCUGCAACUUAUAAACGUGGGAUCUUUUCUUGUAUUUGAUGUAUGAAAGAUCCAUUUUAAGUAAUUUGGUCGCUAGAAAUAUGUUGAUUGCAUGGUAUGUCGUGCGUUCAGAAAUUUGCCCCGAAAUACAUUAUAAAAAGAAAAUAUCAAUGAACUUCUAUGAAAUUGUUUCACGGAUUCAGGCAAUUGUCUUGAUCGUGAAAUAUCAUUGAGAAAAAGGAAUUUGUAUUAUUAAAAGAUUUCCUGCAAUUAUUUCUAGUAUGGAAUGAAUCAAUCAUCCACUUUGGUAUCUUAUUGAACAAAAAUGGUGAUAUUGUUCCUUGAUUGAUCAAUAAUUUCGAUUUUUAGAAAGUAUCAUGAUCAUCCAAAAAUAAUGGCUUCCAUUUUUACAAAUAAACGAUUUGAAGACCUAUUGAUUCUAACAACUGAUUGCAGAGUUGAUCAUUCGGACCUUUCAAUUCAUAGACGUGGAUCUCGAACCUAUGAAUGGGGUUAUUCAUGAAACUCACAAAGAAAAAAGGAAGUGAGUUAGACAAAAGAAGAAGAAGAAGAAGAAAUUUGGACAAAAAAGAUUUCGAAUAGCUAUCAUGAAUUCAAAUUAAUUAUGUUUAGUUUCUUACUCGGAGAAAGACGAUCCAAAAUUCCCAAUCACGGUACUUGCAAAUCGGAUCAUCCAUAUAAUAUACAAAAAGAAACUCCAGAUAUUUGAUAUAUUUUCCUUUGAAUGAGAUCUCAAUUCCAACGAUGGUUUCAUUAGAUAUCUUACAACUAGAAUCCUCUUUUUUCCGAUCAAAUUCCUCCAGCACUGCAAACCCAAGUUAAAUCCAGGCAUGAUACACUUUUUCGUUAUUGGGAGAACUUAAGUACUCUCUUUCGGAUCCAAGAAAAAGCUCUCGAAGAUCUUAAGAUCUUUCCUUUUGGAAGAUAAAGGAGCGAAAUGAUCAACUUAUUGAUAUUGGAAGACCCAAGACCCAAACGAUUCUUCCAAUGUAUCAUUUCUAGGUCCAAUGGAAUUCAUAGGUAUAGGAAAAUGCCCUAUCAAAUAGAGAUUUUUUUUCUUUCGGCCAUAUUUCAAUUAUUAAUAUGAUAUAUAAGGACUACUACUACAAAUAGUACUACACCCUUGAUCGUGAAAUAUCAAUUGCUUGUUGAAUCUUGUGAAUUGCGUGAAAGUAGGAUACUCCAAAUUCGGGGGUCCAGGAGUUUUAUAAAAUGUUCUUGGUGGAAAAAAAUGUGGAUGAAAGAUCCCAUGAAAUUGAAUUGGGUCCAUGAAUCUAAGAAAUAGUGAGAAUUAUGGAUCUCUCAAUUCGAAAAUCCAGGAUUUGAAUUGAUGUCCUUUCAUUGAUUUCUCCUAAAUUGCAUUAAUUUCUCCUAAAGAUUUCAUUUCAAUUGGAAUUUGGUUAUUCACCGUGUAUGAGGAUCCCUGCUAAGCAUCCAUGGUUGAAUGGUUAAAGCGCCCAACUCAUAAUUGGCGAAUUCGUAGGUUCAAUUCCUAUUGGAUGCAUGCCAAUGGGACACUACAAUAAAUCUAUUGGAAUUGACUAUAUAUCAAUGGAAUCUGAUCAUCCAUACAUAACAAAUUGAUGUGGUAUAUUCAUAUCAUAACAUAAGAUAUUGGGGAAGAAAAUUGAUUUAUGGAAGAAAAAUUAUUAGGGAAAAAUCAAUAUACCUUUAAUGCCGAAUCAAGAUCAAGUAGGACAUAAAUAAAGCAUUGGGUCGAACUCUUCUGAAAGGAUAGAAGAAUAGGACCUAUUAUCGUUAGAAGAAUGGGACCUAUUCUUGGGCAUACAAAGCAUUACAGACGUAUGAUCAUUACACUUCAACUAGGUUAUUCUAUUCCCAUCUUAAAAAGAAACGAACUUAAAUCAAAAUGGUUAAUAUUAAUAGCAUAGCAAUAUAUUUAUACAAAACUUCUAUCUUGGGAUAGAAGUUUUGUAUAAAUAUAUCGCUAUGGAGCCGUAGACAUACACGAAAUAAUUUGAUCUAUGGACGGCAUCAUUGUAAUAAAGGUUGUAAUGCUAGAGGAAUCAUUACCGCAUGGCAUAGAGCAGGAUUUUCAAAUACUCCAAUGAGUUGUAGUUGCCAUGGGUAAUUUUAAAUUUGAUUUACAAUGCACUACUUAUAAGUAAAAUGAGAAAAACGGUGCAUUGAAAACUGCAUAAUUCUCUUUAUAUUUUUUUAACAAGUUCAUAAAAGCACUUUUAAACAAAGUCCAAUUUGGAUAGGAGAAUUUUCAUUUGGCCCCACCAUUUUGAUCAUUUGCUUGCAGCCAUGCAAAGAAAGUGACCAGAUUUGGCCCAUAAAUUAUAAACAAGUUAAUAAAGACUUAAGUGGAAAGGACAAAUAGUAACUUCAACCUCAAAUAUUUCCCAGCCUGAGAGUUUCUUAGUAGAUCCACUGUUCCAUGUCGUGAGAUCAGCCUUUUGGAUGAGGAAUGAGUAGUGUGCAAAAAUCAAGAAUUCAUUGUGCAAUUGGCACGCGCCCACCCUACCAGAGCAGCCAUGGCCAGGAUCCGGAAGAAACUUGUUGUGGCCAUGAUGGUGAGCUCGACGGAGCUCAAGUGGCCAGCUCAAAGCAGGGACAGUGGGAGGGUGGCUUCUGGUUUCUUAUCAAUUUUAUUAUAUCCUCUUUCUCUUUCUCUAAACUUUUUAUUAUAAAAUCUUUUAAUUCUUUUCCAGACGUGGCGUUAGGUAGAGUCAGCUUUUAGUUGGUCAAAUCAAAUGAAUUAAUAAAAAUGUUCCUUAUACAAAUUUGAAUAGGAUUCAGUUCGUACUAUUUAAAAGUUUUAGGUCAAUUACAUUUGCUUGAUGAAUUUUAGAAUUUCUGAUGUAGGUACCCCUUUGUGUAAAGGUAAUACUCAUCCAUGAAUAUAGUCCAGUGAACUUCUAUGGUACUUUAACAGUUGAAAGCGGGUGAAGCUUUCGUGACUAGUAGGGAAACCGUAGGCCAUCCUAUGGAGAUGAUGAGAGGAGAGGUUUUCAUCAGUAGAGAUAAUACCACUACCAGCACUUGCAGCAAUCAUUACACUCUAACGAAACUAGAAAGAUGAGACAUACAAGCCAAUGACUCAUGAAACAUAACUCUGCAUCUGUCCAAUCUUUUUAUUGCUCAAAAUAGAAAAUCACAGAACCAGAAGUCCAGUUCUGCGAAACACCAGCCUGGUCAUCAUCUCCAACUUUGAUGAUUGAAGACGACCCUUCAGAGAAAAUCCCACAUAAAACAUUGACCCAAGAAGGACAGAAUCAACAACCAAAUACAGCUAACAACUCAUAUAAAAAGGGGUAGAACAGGUCUAAUGUUACGGUCCCCGGCACCCGAUAAUUUAAACUAGACCCCUUUGCAUCACUGCUGGUUCCUCAUGGCAAGAACCUUGGCCAAAGCCGGCCGGGCCAUGAUGUCGGCCACCCAAGCGCUCACCUUGGGGCAGGCGUCGAACAGCUUCUUCACAGGUGAAGCCAUCAGGUUGGUCAGGGCCGGGAGGUGGUGGAGGUCGGCCAGGGUGAAGCAGUCGCAGCCCAAGUACUUGGACUGGCUCAGCCGGGCCUCGUAGAUGUCGAGGACCUUGGCGAGCUUGGCCUCGUUCUCCUCGACUACGGCGGCGUCCGUGGCCAUGCCGAACAUCGGCUUGAACACGAGCUCCCACUGCAGCUUCGACGCCACGGGGUCAAACUGGUGGGCCUCGACCUCCAUCCACACGCCCACGGUCGCCAUGGGUUUGCCCUCGCACACGAGGGGAGUGCCCUUGUCCUCGUAUACAUGAGCAAUGUAUUGAGUAAUUGCCCUGGAUUCUGCCACCACAAAGAACACAAUCAAGAUGUAAACUAUACUUCGCGUAGUUGUUUCUUGUUCAGUUGACGAAUUGAACACUCAAAGGUUGACUAAACACUUGAUCUUUCAUCAUGGUCGCACGAUCUAUCAACAAUCGAAUCAGCACCCUUUGACUAAAUACUUUCAUCUUUCAUGAUGGUCACACAAUAUAAUACACCACUAACAGAAAGACUUACCGAAUAGCUUCAAAUCUCCAUCCUCAAAGGCCGGGACUUGACCGAAAGGCUGCACAGAGAGAUCCAGAAACGUUAGAUCUGAGAGAGACGAAGGAGGGUUUCUUGAAAGAGCACAUUCAACCCGCCAAGACCGAAAAUCUGCGAGUAUAACGGUCGAACUGGUGGAGGGCAGGAACGGAGACUUACGUUGAGGGCGAGGAAGUGCUCCUUCUUGUGCUCGCCGGCCCGCAUGUCGACGGGGACGAACUCGAACUCGAGGCCCUUCUCGUUGAGGGCAAUAAGGACCCGCAUAGCCGCGGUGGAUAAGACGCUUCCGUGGACCUUCAUCACCAUGGUCGCUGGCUCUGCUUUCUUAUCUUUAUCUCCCUAUCUCGAAGCCUAAAUGUAGAACAGAUGCAGAACAGAUGUGCUUUAUUAUCUUUAUCUCCCUAUCUUGUUUUGGAAUGAUCUAAUUGACUUUUAAAAUUCGAUUUUUCUUUCCCAUUCAACGAGAUAAUUUUGCUUUUUUAUCUUUGUUGUUUAUACUUAGGAGAUGGAGAUGCAAAAAUGGCUCCUCCUUUUCUUUUCUCUCGCGUCCUUCCUUUCUUUUCCCUCUGCACCUUGUCAGAAAAAGGACAAAGUCCUUUGUUGACCUGUUGAAAAAAACGAGAGAGAACUCCCUUUUUUUUAAAUCUAACGUCCGCCCCCUCUUUCGUCCGUUUGCGAGCGGCUUUUAUGGGCGAGGUAUUAAGGCUUUCUAGAAUAUUUUAUUUCCUUUUUCACAUCGGAUUCACAUUUCCUUUCUCAACAUGCAUGAAGAUAUAUUGUCGAAAUAUGUACCCCACAUGCAAUAUUUCUUUUUAUUUUCCACAUCUCUUCUAGCCUUGUUUGAUUUCCUUUAUAUGCACUUCAUAUCUUUCCACAUUAAAUUAUGCAAAAAAAAAAGAAUAUUCUCCAUCGAUUUUUAUUAUAUAUUGCCAAAAAUUCAAGAUUAUAAUAGGAUUUUCUCAAAUUCUAAAUCUUGUCAAGAUGAGCUCGUAAUAUCUCCUUCUCACACUUGCCCUUUUUGAGAAUAUAUGAAUAGAUUACAUGAACAUACAAAAAAUCCUCUAUCAUAUCACUAAAAAUAUCGAAUCGUCAAUUCUUAUAAGUUAAUCUUUGGUCAUCAAAAAAUAAUGGGCUUGGGCCAAUUCCAUUUCAACGCAGGCUUAGUCCAACUUGCUAAAUUUAAGCUCAGAACCAUCAAAUUAAAUCCAUUCGUCACCAACCCAAUGCAAAUGUAAUAAAAAAAAAAAGUUCUCUUAAAACUACAUGUUAUGUAAUUUAAUUAUAAUUUUUUUUUGUUUAUGGGUUAAAAAUUAAUCUCUAAUUUUUAAAAGGGAAAACCUCAAAUAAGGAUUGAAAAUGGCUUCGUUUUCUCAAAAAAGAACCUAAAGUGAAGUUUGUCUCAAAUAAGGACCUAAAGUAGUCAUUUAGUCUCAAAAAAUGACCUAACUCGCCGGCCAAUGAACUAAUGCAUUUCUGAUGCGUAUUCCGGUGACCUAAUCAAGGUAUUUUCAUCCAAAAAAUAUUCUCUUUUCAUUUUCCUUUUCCCCUGUUCAUCUUCUCCAUCUGCGAGCAGACCUCCAAUAUCUCGCCAGUGAAGUAAUUGCCGACGAGAUCAAGCCACUUCAGCUUCUUGAGCCUUGCCACCUCCAGCGACAGCGGCCCCGUGAACUUGUCAUUGCCCAAGUGGAGUUCUUCAAGCUAGGUUAUCGCCUGUAAGACUUUGCUGGGGAAGAUCCCAAAGAGGUUGAGGAAUUGGAGGGAGGUGGGGCUGCCGAGCUUUGGCGGGAGGGUCCUGGUGAGGUUGUCGGUGGUGAGCGUGAGGUUGACGAGGUCACAAAGAAGGCCAAUUUUCGGGUGGGAUGUAGCUCGGGAGGCCGACGGAUGUGAUGUUGAGAGAGACGACCCACGAGCCAGCGUCGCAUGUGACUUCGGUGAAGGAGCAAUGCGGAAAGGGCGGUGGCAAGAAGGAGGAGGAGGAGUUGACCCAGUCGCUGAUGGCGGCGGAGGGAGGCUCGACCAUGGCGGUUUUGGGCUUCAAGAGCAUGUCCAGGUCGCUCUGUGCGAGGGAAGCAGAGAUGAAGAGGAGGAAGAAGAAGACUCCAUUGUAGGGCAGUUUCAUCCUCAGUGAGUUCGACGAGGCCAGCAAGGGCUCGCCGACCUCGCCGACCACUGGUAAGGGUAGGCGAGGGCUUGGCCCUCGCCUGCUGCCAACGCCUGCUACCGGCGAUAGGCGUUGAGCCCUCGCUGGCCUCAGGUGAGGCCAACCCACACCGGUCCCACGACCUUCGCUGGCCCUUCCCUACUUCCGAUGUCCUUGAUUUGGGCAAUGCCUAUCUUCGACGAAGAAGACGAUGAAUAGGGACAACCAUGGGUAGAUCAAGAAGAAGAUGAACAGGAUAAGGAAAACAAAAAGAUAAUAUUUUUUGGACAAAAAUACUCCAGACCAGGUCGUUGGAAUACGCAUUGAAAAUGCAUCAAUUCGCCGGCCGACAAGUCAGGUCCUUUUUUGAGACUAACUUAUGUGGCCAAGAGACCAUUAAAACUAUUUUUAUUACUCUUUUAUUUAUAGAAAAAAAUCUCCUUGUUAGUUUUUGUUGGAAAUAUGAUUUGUUUUUUUUAUUCUAAGUAUCUAAAUGCGGUUAAUUGAUUCUAUGAAUCCAUGAGAUUGGAUAUUAGGACAGUAGUAUAGGAAACAACAUAUUUUGUAUAUUCUUUCCUAUCGUACUCUUUUCUUGUAUUAUUAAUAGGUGUGUAAUACAUGUACAAACACAGCAAUACACAAUACAUAAAAUUCCUCCAAUUCAUUCUCAGUUUUUGUCAAUUUUCUUUCUCAUUUUCUAUCAGUUUCAUCUUCUACUUCAUGUGGGACUAAGGUUCCAAGAGACCCACAAGGCACUUCAAGCCUCCAAGAGUCCCACAUUGACUAAACAUUUAAAGAGCAGAGAUUGUCUAUAAAAUCUAAGCUAUGCAUAACUUUUAGCCAAAUUAUUCACGGCUUUCAUGGUUAAAGUUAAGUGUGAAACACACGAAGUGUGAAUCACAUUUGAAUAUUUUGCACGUGGAAACAUGUGUGAUUAGUUUUGUUGAAUUGCUCGAGAACCGAAUUGGAUUGAUCGGUCUGGAGCGCGGUCACUCUUUAGUGCAAAAAAGUAGAGCCGAUUUUGUUGGACCGGACCGGACCGGACCGGAACCAAUGGUCGGUCCGGUUCCCGGUCCUAGGACCAAACGGUCCGGUCCACGGUUUGCAAUUUUGGGAAUCGGUGCUCCCGGUCCGAUUCCCGGUUCCAAGGUGGAACCGGACCGAACCGGGAACCGAUCACCCCUAGCUGGCCCUUCCCUACUUCCGAUGUCCUUGAUUUGGGCAAUGCCUAUCUUCGACGAAGAAGACGAUGAAUAGGGACAACCAUGGGUAGAUCAAGAAGAAGAUGAACAGGAUAAGGAAAACAAAAAGAUAAUAUUUUUUGGACAAAAAUACCCCAGACCAGGUCGUUGGAAUACGCAUUGAAAAUGCAUCAAUUCGUCGGCCGACAAGUCAGAUCCUUUUUUGAGACUAAAUGACUGCUUUGGGGCCUUAUUUGAGAUAGAUUCCAUUUAAGGUCUUCUUUUGAGAAAAUGGGACCACUUUAGGUCUCUAUUUGAGAUUUUCCCUUUUUAAAAUGAUAAACAACUAAUCGUGGUUCUUUACCCAAAAAAAAAAAAAAAACAACUAAUCGUGGUUGUCAAAAUUUAUAUGUCAACACACCUCUUAGAAAUAAAAGAGCUUAAAUAAAAAUACUUAAUAUUAAUAGCAUGUUGAUACAUUUAUACAAAACUUCUACCCCGGGCACACGUAAUAAAGUCGUAGAUAGUCAAGUGAAAUCUAAUAUGCGAAAUAAUUUGAUUUAAGGACAGCAUCAUUGUAUUAAAGGUCGUAAUGCCAAAUGAAUCAUUACCGCGAGGCAUAGAGCAGGAUUUUCAAAUACUCCAAUGAGUUGUGGUCACCGUGGGUAAUUUUGAAUUUGAUUACAAUGCACUACUUAUAAGUAAAACGAGAAAAGUGGUGCACUGAAAACUGCAUAAUUUUCUUUAUUUUUUUUAACAAGUUCAUAAGAGCACUUUUAAAGAAAGUCCAAUUUGGAUAGGAGAAUUUUCAUUUGGCCCCACCAUUUUAGUCAUUUGCUUGCAGCCAUGCAAAGAAGUGACCAGAUUUGGCCCAUAAAUUAUAAGCAAGUUAAUAAAGACUUAAGCGGAAAGGACAGAGUAACUUCAACCUCAGAUAUUUCCCAGCCCGAGAGUUUCUUAGUAGAUGCACUGUUCCAUGUCGUGAGAUCAGCCUUCAGGACGAGGGACGAGUAGUGUGCAGAAAUCAAUAAUUGAUUGUGCAAUUGGCACGCGCCUACCCUGUAAGAGCAGCCGUGGCCAGGAUCCGGAAGAAACUUGUCGUGGCCAUGAUGGUGUGCUUGACGGAGCUCGAGUGGCCAGCUCAAAGCAGGGAUAGUGGGUGGGUGGAGUCCGUUUUCUUCUCAUUUUUAUUUAUCAUCCUUUUUUUUUUUUAGGGAAAAAGCCACCAAAAACCCUCCCAACUUUGCCUCGAGUGACAGAUUUACCCCGAACUUUGUUUUGUGACGUGAAAAACCCCGAAAUUUACUAACUGUGACACAUUUACCCCAAACUUUUAUUUGUGUGACAUAUUUACCCUAAAUCAUAAGGGAAUUUUGGUAUUUUUACUUUUAAAAACUUUUUUCUUUUUUUUUUUCUUUUUUUUCUUCUUCUUCUUCCUUCCUUCCGCCGGCCAUGGCGGAGCCGGCGUAGGAAGCCGAUUUUUGCGAGGGCCUCCCUACUAAAAUCAGGGGAGGUGCCCCUGGCGAGGGCACCCUCGCCCGACGCCGGCGUCGAGCGAGGGAGGCCCUCGUCCAAUCCAGUCGAGGGCUGCCCUCGCCGGACGCCAACUUCCCUCUGCCAGCCAGCCGGCGGAGGAAAGAGAGAAGAAGAAAAAAAGAAAAAAAAAAAGAAAAAGAAAAAGAAAAAAUAGAAAUAAUAAGACGAAAAUACCCUUAAUGGGGUAAAUGUAUCACAGUUAGCAAACUUCGGGAUUUUUCACGUCACAAAACAAGUUUGGGCUUUUUGGUGGUUUUUUCCCUUUUUUUUAUUCUCUAAAUUUUUAUUAUACAAUUUUUAAUUCUUUUCCAGAUGUGACGCUAGGCAGAGUCAACUUUUGCUUGGAUAGAAGUUUUGUAUAAAUGCAUAGCCAUGCUAUUAAGCCAUGCUAUUAAUAUUAAGUAUUUUGAUUUAAGUUUUUUUUCUUUCUAAGAGGUGGAAUAGAAUUUUAGUUGUCAAAUCAAAUGACUUAAUAAAGAAGUUCAUCAUAUAAAUUUAAUUAGGAUUCAAUUGUACUAUUUAAAAGUAAGUUUUAGGUGAAUUGCAUUUGCUUGAUGAAUUUUAGAAUUUCUGAGGUAGGUAUCCCUUUGUGUAAAGGCAAUGCUCAUCUAUGAAUAUAGUCCAGUGAAAGUCUAUGGUACUUUAACAGAUGAAAGCGGGUGAAGCUUUCAUGACUGGUAGGGAAACUGGAGGCCAUCCCAUCCUAUGGAGGUGAUGAGAGGAGAGGUUUUUAUCAGUAGAGAUAAUACCUGCACCCGCAGAAAUCAUUACACUCUAAUGAAACUAAAACGUCAAAACAUUUAAGCCAAUGACUCAUGAAACAUGACUCUGCAUCUGUCCAAUCUUUUUAUUGCUCAUAAUAGAAAAUCACAGAACUAAAAGUACAGUUCUGUGAAACACCAGACUGGUCAGCAUCUCCAACUUUGAUGAUUGAAGACGACCCUUCAGAGAAAAUCCCACAUAAAACAUCGACCAAAGGACAGAAACAACAACAAAAUACGAUUACCAACUCAUAUAGAAAGGGGUAGAAAAGGUCUAAUGUUAUGGUCCCCCAGCACCAGAUAAUUUUAAACUAGAGCCUGGGCUUCACUGCUGGUUCCUCAUGGCAAGAACCUUGGCCAAAGCCGGCCGGGUCAUGAUGUCGGCCACCCAAGCGCUCACCUUGGGGCGGGCGUCGAACAGCUUCUUCACAUGGGUCCCCAUCAGGUUGGUCAGGACUGGGAGGUGGUGGAGGUCGGCCAGGGUGAAGCAGUCGCAGCCCAAGUACUUGGACUGGCUCAACCGGGCCUCGUAGAUGUCGAGGACCUUGGCGAGCUUGGCCUCGUUCUCCUCGACUACUGCGGCGUCCGUGGCCAUGCCGAACAUCGGCUUAAACAGGAGCUCCCACUGCAGCUUCGACCCCACCGGGUCAAACUGGUGGGCCUCGACCUCCAUCCACACGCCCAAGGUCGCCAUGGGUUUGCCCUCGCACACGAGGGGAGUGCCCUUGUCCUUGUAUACAUUAGCUAUGUAUUGAGUAAUUGCCCUUGAUUCUGCCACCACAAAGAACAAAAUCAAGAUGUAAACCAUGCUUCGCGUAGUUGUUUCUUGUUCAGUUGACGAAUUGAACACUCAAAGAUUGACUAAACACUUGAUCCUUCAUCAUGGUCGCAUGAUCUAUCAGCAAUCGAAUCAGCACCCUUUUGACUAAAUACUUUCAUCUUUCAUGAUGGUCACACAGUAUAAUACACCACGAACAGAAAGACUUAC